CUGGCGGCAUGCUUUACACAUGCAAGUCGAACGGCAGCACGAAAGAGCUUGCUCUUUUGGUGGCGAGUGGCGAACGGGUGAGUAAUACAUUGGAACGUACCGAGUAAUGGGGGAUAACUGUCCGAAAGGAUGGCUAAUACCGCAUACGCUCUGAGGAGGAAAGCGGGGGACCUUCGGGCCUCGCGUUAUUCGAGCGGCCAAUGUCUGAUUAGCUAGUUGGUGGGGUAAAGGCCUACCAAGGCGACGAUCAGUAGUGGGUCUGAGAGGAUGAUCCGCCACACUGGGACUGAGACACGGCCCAGACUCCUACGGGAGGCAGCAGUGGGGAAUUUUGGACAAUGGGCGAAAGCCUGAUCCAGCCAUGCCGCGUGUCUGAAGAAGGCCUUCGGGUUGUAAAGGACUUUUGUCAGGGAAGAAAGGGUUUGGGUUAAUACCC
This 436-nucleotide ribosomal RNA is filed under the name uncultured Neisseria sp. Its description in RNAcentral is "bacterial SSU rRNA". It matches the Rfam family "Bacterial small subunit ribosomal RNA", at positions 36 to 468 of the family's 1533-position model. The record is from RNAcentral. Lineage: Bacteria; Pseudomonadati; Pseudomonadota; Betaproteobacteria; Neisseriales; Neisseriaceae.